AACUUUCAGACAAGAGCCAUUGAUCACACCAAGAAAUCAAUAUUCAGUGCUCAUCAAGGGCCAAUACCUUCCAUCCUGAUAUCAUCAGAGGAUGCAGAUGUUGAACAAGUGAUUGCACCGGAGCCAAAGAAUCAGACAGCUAAGAGCCUGUGCUGGAGGUGUGAUGAGAAGUGAAGUGUGCGUGGUUAUGCAGAAAUUACUGGGACUGGUGUCGGCAGUACGCCGAGGACAGAGUACUGGAGACAUUCUGUGACCCUAGUUCCCCUGAGAUGCGUGCCUGUGUACAACAGCACGCGUGCAUGGGCCUAAUGACUGAAGCCAGCGAUGGAACUUUUUUUCCAUCAGCAAGUUCAGAGAAGGAGCUGGGGCACAGGUCCUCAGAGGUGCCAGGGAUGCAGCUAGCCUGACGUAAGGACCUCCCCAUGGCACUUUGGUUAACUAAAAUCAAUGCACUUGCCAGGCAGCAUUUUUAUUGAGGUUUCCCUCCACCCUGCCCCUCUCCCCCUCAAUUUAAUGGUUUAUUUAGUUGACUAUGAAUUUCAUUCUGCUCGGAGAGCCCUGCACAGCAGAAUCGCUGUUCAGCCGCAGAAGAGGCACAAGAGAUCCGCACGCACAUCAGGUCUCAUGCAGGGAGAACGCGAAUAAUUCUCAUCCCCCCCGUUCGCUCCCCCACAGCAAGGGCUAAACCACGCUCGUUUCCAGCGGAGCCCCGUGGCCUCUCCCCGUAGCCAGCAUGCUGGCUGCAGUCGGUCGGUGCGGACUCUUCCCUCGCAGGUAAUCCUCUUCAGCAUCUGCACCUCGCGUGUGGGGAAACCUCCGACGGGGGGACCGCAACCCUGCACCGCAGCCUCGGGAUGGGACAUUGAGCCAGCUCCGUCUCAGUGGCACAGACCCCAGCUGUGGUCUCCUGCCCGAGCCUGUUCUCCAUCCCGUGACAGAUGUGCCGCAACAUCUGGCAGUCUGUCUCCCUCUAUUUUAAAAGGUCUGGCUUCACUGUGUCGGGCCAUCCAGGCCAGAAUACCUGAGCAGAGCUAGAUGAAGUAAUGGGGAGGAGUAGACCUCAGGGACACCAACUUGCAUUAAGAUUCGAAGAGCUGUCUGCGUGGGAACGCUGCCAGCAAAGGCGACUGCUAGCCAGGCAAGGCUAAGGUGACAACCUGUUCUGGGAGAAGCUUUCUGGCUUUGCUGGAGUAUUGGAUAUUAAGGUCUGAUCCUGCAUCCAUCCAAGUCCAGAAUAGUUUCUCCACUGACUUUAGAGGCAUCUCUGAACAAUCUGAUGACUUUUUUUCCCCUAUCUUGAACAGGUAUCUUACAUGGAGGGUACUGUAUUCCCUUGACCUGUCUGCCAGGCAGGUCAUCUGCUGUUCCCCUAAUUGCAGCAGGAGUUACUUUCCUGAAGUUAAAAUGGCUGUUUUCCUUUCCUGAGCACAAAGGGGCAGUAGAAGAGACCUGGCUGCGAAAGCCCUUGCCAGGAAAAGGCGGCUUUUAUUGCAUUCUCGGGCUGGAGGAACAUUUUUGGAGAGAUGCGAGAGUGAAAUAAGACACUGGCUGUGUGAGUCAUGGCUCAGACGUGCUCUCUAUUCCAAGGGGACAGCUGGUGGCACCAACAAAACAUCUCCCUAGAUACAUUGUCUGGCAGCAAUCCCCCUCCUGCUUUUUCCAGCUGUAACUACCGUUACGUGAUAAAUAAAUAAACACUCUGACAGUGAUGUGCAGAGGCAGAUUUCCUUCCCUCGGCCCCUGUAGGCUCUCACCUGUCCCUCUCCUCCUGCUGCAGGACCGCAAUGCUAAGAUUUAAAAGAAGGGGCAAGAAACACCGGUGUCGGACCCCGCAGCAUCCCAUGGCUUUGACCUGGACGGUGCCCGCGUCCCUCUGCGCAGGGUGGCAGCUCCCCGUGAAAGGCACUAAACCAGCGCUGAAGUGAGCUGUGGUGCCAGCAGAGAGAAACGAUGCUCUCGCCUCCUUGCCUGCCUUAUCUUCACAGCUAAAGCCUCGGCCUCCCUGGCCCGCGACCCCCAACCCUCGCACGCCCAUUACCACGCUGCUGUAUUGCUGGGAAGGAGUCUGUUUUGUUGGCGGGCGCUGCUGGCUGACUGAUGAAUUCAAAGCCCGACUGGAAGUUAAUGAUGGCUCCAAGCAGCACAACCUCCUUCCUGCUGGGUUUCUGCUGCAGUUUUACUGGGAGCAGUUGAAGGGGAAGGUCAGCCCUAGCCAUGCUGCAGGUGCUUAAAGCCACAGGAAUUUAUUUUCUGCACCACCCAGUGCUAACGAAGGGGUGGUGGGGAGAGCUGCUGAACCGUAGUCAGCUCUCUGCAGUUUACAUGCACGCAGCAGCAAAUCCUCUCUAGCAUUUGACUCUGUAUUUUAACAUAGUUCCAGACAUCAGCAAAUCAAUUAAAGUUCCUUACUACUGAAGCCUGAAUGUUUUCUGGAACAGCUGGUAAAUUAUUGAAUGAGACAAGGCUUAGGAAAAGAGGCUGGACUGAAAGGCAGAAAGAUUUUGUUUAUGCACAAAUAUUGUGUAUCCAGCAGCCAGGGGAUGUGCCCUUUGGACUGAGUAAUGAUCAGUUUAAUAUCAAAUACGUCUUUCUGGAAAGACUGGCUGAAGUUGAAGAGAGGGAUCAUCAUUAGACAUGAUGAUCUGAGAGGUGGCUCUUCUCUCUAAAUGCCACGACCCCAUGAAAGCUGUCACAAAUGCACGGCCUUUGUCUGAGUCACUGCUUGAAUCAUGAAGGCUGCAACGUGUCCCGUCGUGGGUUAUGAAUGUUCCUGACACUGGGUGGGACAUGGUAUCCAUUCCAUAAGCUAAUUUAGGUGGGGCUGGACAAGCACCUUGCGUGCCUGCUGAGGUGAUCCAGCCUGCCUGCCGCCUGGUCGAUGCCGGCAUGAGCAAAACUUCCCAGUGCUCCUUCUGGAUCCCCUGGGAAAAAGGGCCCUUCAGGAAGACGGCGUAUGACAGGGAGGAGAGCCCUCAGCUCAUGCAUAGCAGACCUCAGAUGAAAUCCCCUUUCUCGCUCAGAGGCAAAAUUUCACUGAUUUUAGCAAGCCAGGUUCCUCGUUGUGCUUUGGAUUUCUAGCACCUCUUUGUUUUGGUUUUCUCCUCCUCCCUUUGGUCUGUUUGUAACACAGGGAUGGAUCCAGAAAAGGGCCGCGCGCUUCUUCCAGCCAUCGUGUGACCGGGAGAACAAGCCCCGUUAGGCAACGCUAAUGGGAAACCAGGGCCCCUCUGGAUCCACAAAGGCAGAGGCUGAUUUUGGUCUGCACUGCACAGGUUGUCCUUCCAGAUGUGGAUUGUGAGACAAGUCGCCAUGGCCAGCCAGCCCAGGUAAGGCACCAUCAGCAGCGCUGCUAUCUUGU
Molecule: long non-coding RNA, 3358 nt
Organism: Harpia harpyja (harpy eagle)
Lineage: Eukaryota; Metazoa; Chordata; Aves; Accipitriformes; Accipitridae
Exons: 4
Source: RefSeq, a predicted model, not a curated record